RNAcentral lists this ribosomal RNA (557 nucleotides) under Campylobacter coli. RNAcentral describes it as "bacterial SSU rRNA". It matches the Rfam family "Bacterial small subunit ribosomal RNA", at positions 977 to 1533 of the family's 1533-position model. RNAcentral also lists the same sequence under 1 other name. The record is from RNAcentral. Lineage: Bacteria; Pseudomonadati; Campylobacterota; Epsilonproteobacteria; Campylobacterales; Campylobacteraceae.
GGGCUUGAUAUCCUAAGAACCUCUUAGAGAUAAGAGGGUGCUAGCUUGCUAGAACUUAGAGACAGGUGCUGCACGGCUGUCGUCAGCUCGUGUCGUGAGAUGUUGGGUUAAGUCCCGCAACGAGCGCAACCCACGUAUUUAGUUGCUAACGGUUCGGCCGAGCACUCUAAAUAGACUGCCUUCGUAAGGAGGAGGAAGGUGUGGACGACGUCAAGUCAUCAUGGCCCUUAUGCCCAGGGCGACACACGUGCUACAAUGGCAUAUACAAUGAGACGCAAUACCGCGAGGUGGAGCAAAUCUAUAAAAUAUGUCCCAGUUCGGAUUGUUCUCUGCAACUCGAGAGCAUGAAGCCGGAAUCGCUAGUAAUCGUAGAUCAGCCAUGCUACGGUGAAUACGUUCCCGGGUCUUGUACUCACCGCCCGUCACACCAUGGGAGUUGAUUUCACUCGAAGCCGGAAUACUAAACUAGUUACCGUCCACAGUGGAAUCAGCGACUGGGGUGAAGUCGUAACAAGGUAACCGUAGGAGAACCUGCGGUUGGAUCACCUCCUUUCUAG